UUCCAAUUACAUUUCACCGAACGUCAAUUUAGGUCGCGGAAUUUCGCAGCCAUGGCUCAAACCAGCAACAAUGCACUUGGCGUUGAUAACACCUUUAGAAGGAAAUUUGAUGGAGAAGAAUAUUUGGAACGAGCUCGGAGCGCGAAAGACAGCAAAAGGCCCCCCGUGCAAAGAAAGCCAUUGAAACAUAGAGAUUAUGAAGUGGACCUUGAAUCUCGCUUGGGAAAAACUCAAGUUGUUACUCUUAUAGCACCUCUCAGUCAACAGGACUUGGAAUCGGGGAAGAUGAUUGGCAGUGCUGAACUAUGUGAAGGACUCUAUCUCAUCAGGGCACCAAAAAUUCCGAGAAGACAAGUUCAACUUGCAAGAAGUGUUCCCAUUGUGCAACCAAGGUUGAUUGCGCCACUUAUGUCGCGUACAGUGGCCGUAUUGUAGAACAAGAAGUUUGAGACAAUAUUGUCAACACAAUUGAGCACCAAUUGUGUCACAGUCAGGCAAGGUCCAUUGAACAAGUAAAGUGCUUGAGGAGGGACAUUGAUACUUCCACUCUAGUCUAGUCUAUAGGCCUCAUUACAACCAGAAUAUAUCUUAACAAAUAAAUGGUUGAAUCAAGUUCGGGAACAAAAAUGAAAAAUCAAGGAAAGCCAUUACAAAAGACUAUGGUGGGCAGAAAAGAAAUGGGCUUGAAAGAGGGUGUUCAUCAACUGAUUUAUGUAUGAAUCAGUAAAACAACGACACUUUUUAAUCAGGUAAUAUUAAAAUUCUGUUUUGACAGUCGUGUAUGAGAGUGGGAUCCACUCAUUUGGAAGAAAAACAGAAGAGAGGUGUUAGGUUGGUGGGCUAAAGCUAGUUAUGGCAACAAGGGGCUGGGGACAAAUGGACUGAAAUGGAGAGUUAAGUUGGUGUCCAAAACUCUUUGUACUUGUUCCGUUCUUUUUGGGAAACAA
RNA transcript from Morus notabilis, 947 nucleotides. RefSeq lists it as uncharacterized. The record is from RefSeq and is a predicted model, not a curated record. Lineage: Eukaryota; Viridiplantae; Streptophyta; Magnoliopsida; Rosales; Moraceae. The transcript is spliced from 7 exons.